Molecule: ribosomal RNA, 403 nt
Filed under: Verrucomicrobiota bacterium
Lineage: Bacteria; Pseudomonadati; Verrucomicrobiota
Description: Verrucomicrobia bacterium partial 16S ribosomal RNA
Rfam family: Bacterial small subunit ribosomal RNA
Source: RNAcentral
UGGGGAAUAUUGCACAAUGGGGGAAACCCUGAUGCAGCGACGCCGCGUGAGCGAAGAAGGUUUUCGAAUCGUAAAGCUCUGUCCUAUGAGAAGAUAAUGACGGUAUCAUAGGAGGAAGCCCCGGCUAAAUACGUGCCAGCAGCCGCGGUAAUACGUAUGGGGCGAGCGUUGUCCGGAAUUAUUGGGCGUAAAGGGUACGUAGGCGGUCUAUUAAGUCAGGUGUGAAAGCGUGAGGCUUAACCUCAUUAAGCACUUGAAACUGAUAGACUUGAGUGAAGGAGAGGAAAGUGGAAUUCCAUGUGUAGCGGUGAAAUGCGUAGAUAUUAGGAGGAAUACCGGUGGCGAAGGCGACUUUCUGGACUUUUACUGACGCUCAGGUACGAAAGCGUGGGGAGCAAACAGG